GGUUAAGCGACUAAGCGUACACGGUGGAUGCCCUGGCAGUCAGAGGCGAUGAAGGACGUGCUAAUCUGCGAUAAGCGUCGGUAAGGUGAUAUGAACCGUUAUAACCGGCGAUUUCCGAAUGGGGAAACCCAGUGUGAUUCGUCACACUAUCAUUAACUGAAUCCAUAGGUUAAUGAGGCGAACCGGGGGAACUGAAACAUCUAAGUACCCCGAGGAAAAGAAAUCAACCGAGAUUCCCCCAGUAGCGGCGAGC
This 253-nucleotide ribosomal RNA is filed under the name Escherichia coli. Its description in RNAcentral is "partial 23S ribosomal RNA". It matches the Rfam family "Bacterial large subunit ribosomal RNA", at positions 1 to 254 of the family's 2925-position model. The record is from RNAcentral. Lineage: Bacteria; Pseudomonadati; Pseudomonadota; Gammaproteobacteria; Enterobacterales; Enterobacteriaceae. RNAcentral also lists the same sequence under 9 other names.